CCCCUUCCCAGCGGCGUCCGGAAGCCCUAUAUCUGGUUUGCCGGGGCUUGCUCCGGAUAUGGCGAUAAAUGGUCGAUGAAAUAAACCUAUUGGACCCGGGGGCGGUACCCGGCGCCUCCACCAAAAACCGGUCGGUCAGCAUGACCGGCUUUUGAUGGGGGCGAAAUAGGAUCGACAAGGGUGUAAAGAUCGUACUUUUGCUCGGCAUGAUACCGCCGUUAUCGGGUCACAAGUGUAGUUGCAAAUGACAACAACGCUAAGGGUUACGCUCUCGCUGCCUAAUGGCGGUGCGGGAAACCCGAACUAAGUCCUCCUGGCUAGCACCUUGAGGCGGGGUCCGAAGGCACCUGGCAACAGAAGCCUUCACC
Rhizobium sp. is the source of this 368-nucleotide non-coding RNA. The record is from Rfam. Lineage: Bacteria; Pseudomonadati; Pseudomonadota; Alphaproteobacteria; Hyphomicrobiales; Rhizobiaceae.